Molecule: long non-coding RNA, 1032 nt
Organism: Octopus sinensis (East Asian common octopus)
Lineage: Eukaryota; Metazoa; Mollusca; Cephalopoda; Octopoda; Octopodidae
Exons: 2
Source: RefSeq, a predicted model, not a curated record
AUAUAUAUGUAUGUAUGUAUGUUUGUGUAUGUAUAUAUAUAUAUAUGUAUGUAUGUAUGUUUGUGUAUGUAUAUAUAUAUAUAUUGCAGACGACAAUAAAAUUGUUUAGAAACACUUAUUCUUUAACUGGCUCUAGAUUGUAUAACAGAUAUAAAGUGAUGAUAUAUAUGUCUUUAUUGUAAGUGUAUAAAUGUCUUGAGUCACUGAUAUUUAUUUAUGCAAUCAAAUGAGCCAUGUUUGUGGAUUCAUGGAAGCAUGCAUACAUAAACAAUCUGAAACCUAUCAAAAAAUAAAAUGUUACUAUAUUUCACUAAAAAUGUUAAAAGAAAAACAAAACAACAAACUAUUCUGACUGAAAAACUAAGAAAAAUACAUAACUAUGUUCUCUAUUUUUAAUUAAAUGCAUGAUACAAAAAAAAAAAAUAUAAAUAAAAGAGUAAGAACAAAAGAACGAUACAUUCUCUAUUUCACCCCCAAAUAUAUUUCAUAAUUUACGAUUUUGAGAUAUCCAUCUUGGAUUCUAAUUUAGAGUUCUUAGACUGUACGUGCACAUAUAUCUGUGUAUGUGUUACUGCAUGAUGCAUUUAUUGUUUUGGCUGUUCUAAUUAACAGAAGUUCAGCCAUCACCUUCCCAUUUUUUUAUUUUCUGGAUCAUAUAUUUAGGGUACAUUAUACAAUAUGUCCAUUUUUAAAGAUAGUAAAAUGUAAUUUGAAUGAGAUUACCUGCUAUUUUCAGCUUUUUGAGCAACCAUUUGUAUUCUCCUUCACUGACCUCAAGGGCUUUUUGUGUGACAGAUAUGAUCAUUUUGUGUAUCUGUGCAACUGACUUGAUGUGGGUGUACAUGUUGGUGCUUUUGUAUUUAUUUCAUUCAUUUCUUUAAUUUAUUAAACAAAAUCAAUUGUAAUUACUAAAUUUGAUUUAGCUGAUUUCAUUUCAAACGACAUUAGAAGAUAAAAAAUUUACUCUAUGAAAAUAUUGUGAAGCAAUGGCAAUAAAACCCAGAUUACAAAUAUCUGUUUUAAUAAUUCCAA